CCUACGGGGGGCAGCAGUAGGGAAUAUUGCUCAAUGGGGGAAACCCUGAAGCAGCACCGCCGCGUGGAGGAUGAAGGUUUUCGGAUUGUACACUCCUUUUGUUAGAGAAGAUAAUGACGGUAUCUAACGAAUAAGCACCGGCUAACUCCGUGCCAGCAGCCGCGGUAAUACGGAGGGUGCAAGCGUUACUCGGAAUCACUGGGCGGAAAGAGCGCGUAGGCGGGAUAGCAAGUCAGAUGUGAAAUCCUAUGGCUUAACCAUAGAACUGCAUUUGACACUGUUAUUCUAGAGUAUGGGAGAGGUAGGUGGAAUUCUUGGUGUAGGGGUAAAAUCCGUAGAGAUCAAGAGGAAUACUCAUUGCGAAGGCGACCUGCUAGAACAUAACUGACGCUGAUGCGCGAAAGCGUGGGGAGCAAACAGGAUUAGAUACCCGUGUAGUC
Molecule: ribosomal RNA, 440 nt
Filed under: uncultured bacterium
Lineage: Bacteria
Description: partial 16S ribosomal RNA
Rfam family: Bacterial small subunit ribosomal RNA
Source: RNAcentral